RNAcentral lists this non-coding RNA (21 nucleotides) under Caenorhabditis elegans. Lineage: Eukaryota; Metazoa; Nematoda; Chromadorea; Rhabditida; Rhabditidae. The record is from RNAcentral.
UAGAUUUUGGAAUGUUUGCGG